GGGAUAUAUAAUCUCUCCCUAUAUAUUCUCCAUGCAUUGAAGCAGCCUCAACACACCCAGGGACCUGGUACAGACGUGGGACCUGUUUCAUGCAACAUCUGCUACUGGAAGGAAAAAAAGAAGCAAAUGAUACCAAGACAAGCUCAUAACAAAGAUCUAAUCACCAGAUGUGUAUGGAUGAAAAUACAGUGAGAUGAGUCAGAAAACGGCUAAGGAGGGUCCCAGACUCUCCAAGAACCAAAAGUUUUCCGAGCACUUCGUCAUACGUUGCUGCCCACCAUUCACCUUCCUCAACUCCAAACGUGAGAUUGUGGAUCGGAAAUACAGCAUCUGUAGAAGUGGCUGCUUUUACCAGAAGAAAGAAGAGGACUGGAUCUGCUGUGCCUGCCAGAAGACCAGAUUGAAAAGGAAAACCAAGCCAGCCCCAAAGAAGAAGUGACCCAGAAGGAAUUUCAAGUGAAUGGACGGCCUCAGCUCCUGGAUUCACUGCUUCUCGACCCACAUGUCUUUGGGCAAGUUAUCAGGCUUCGAAUAUGAUGCUGGGGCAGACACCUGUGGAGGUGGCAACUACCAACACCCACAGUCCCCAUGGCACGGGGGGCCACCAGGCAUCCUGCCUAGAGCAUUUUGAAGAUAUCAUCCUAUUGUCUUCUGACCUCUAUAAUUGCCAAUGAAAAAUCUGCUGUCAGUGUACUUGUCCCUCCAUUGAUUCAAGUUUCUUCAAUCUGAAGAAAAAUAUCUUUCUUCAGGGAUGUGCAAAAAAAAGAUUUCAUUGUACAACCAUCAAAAUGGCAAAAAUUAAAAAUGAUCAAGUGUUGGCAAGGAUAUGGGGAAAAUUCUCAAAAGCUACUGAUGGAAAUUUAUAAACUAUUACAAUACCUUUGGGAUGAAAUCUGGGGAUACACGCAAAGCUGGAUAUUGUAUAACCUAUGAUCAAGUAAUUAUGAUUUUAGGCACCAAUACUAAAGAAAACUUGAAUUCAUUGAAAAAAGAGAUACAUAUAAGUAUGUUCAGUGAAGCACUGUUUGCGAUUGGAAAAAAGAGAGAGAGAGAGAGAAAGGAAUUAAUCAAAAUGUCCACCAAUAGGAGAAUGAGUGAAUCAGUAAAUGUAUAUUCAUAAAUAGAAUCCUAAACAGCAAUUAGAACACAUGAAUCAGGUACACUCACAUCAGGUAGAUACAUUUGGAAAACGAAAUGAGGAAUAUAAAAAGCAAAUAGUAGAUGGUAAAUGCAAUGUGAUGCCCUGUGCAUAGAUUUUAAUAGCCCACAAUACUAUAAUUGCCCAAUAAGCAGAAACCAUAAGAUCUCACACUCACCCUAUGAUGUGAUAGAAUAAAAAAAAAUGACAACAAAAUAAAAGGCUAUCCAAGAUAUAUCUGUCCUCUUGGAAAUCAAAAAUAUUUGAAAUAUUCCAGGUUUGAAGAAACAACUGAAAUUAAAAGCUAUGUGGAAAUGGUCAGCAAUUUUAGUCAUACACAAACGUUUUUGGAGAGAUAAGUGGGAGGCUGAUGAUACGCCUGGGGUCUCUCCAAGGUUACAAGUCUUAGAAAACGAAAACACUUGUUCUGAGUCAAUUUUGGAUCUGGGUUGUACUGUGGCUUCUGCAGGUUUCUGACGUGGGGAAGGGGGGAAGAGUUAGAAUACACCCCUCCCUCACAAACUUCCUGUAGUAAUAGGUAGAAAAACACAGUAGAAGAUAAUAGAAUGUUGUAGAAUGUGGAGGGAUGUAAAAUGGCAGUGUUAGGUAGAGGGAACUCGGAAUGAAGGAGAGAGGGGGCAUCUGGAGCAGUCUUGUGCUGGGAGCUGGCAUGGCCAACCACAGGCAGAUGCCCCAACAAGGCAAGGUUCUGUGUCCUUGAGUGAGCACAGCCAGACCCAGCCAAGUUUAAGGGGCAAGUAAAAUAUGGGGCAAUGCCAGAGGUAGAUCUGUUCAAGGUGUGGGGCUGGGAUGAGAGGAAAUGCCAGAGGGUAGGGAGGAAGAGUGGGAGACUCAGAUGAGAUUUAGCUCAGAACACCACACUUCCAGAAGGAGAAAUCAGGCCAAGUACUGUUCCAGGACAGCUGGAAGGCAAGGCCAGAGUGUCCUGGCUUCCUCACUUGGGGAGGCCACUUAUCUGUGGAAGUGGCAAUAAAAAGGCAGGGGAAUUGAACUCCACAGAGCUUUCAGGUAGAAAUGUUUCUCCUGCCUCAAUUCAGGUGCUAAAUGAACAACAAAAUGAGAACCUCUACUAUGAACAGUUUCCAAUGAUGAGAUAUCUGAGGCCAUUACAUUCCUGGGAAUAGCACCAGGGGUGCCAUGACAGACUACUAGAAAGAAAAAAUUAGUAGGCCAGCCCCUCUCAGACCCAAUAAGGAAGCUCAAUAUUCCUUCAGCCCAUUUUAGAUUUUAGCAAAGCCAGAUCCCAUACUCAGAGCUCGCUAAGCUCUAUCCUCCAUAUCAUCCAGAAAAUACAGUUACUACAGAGUGCACAAUUGGGGAGGAGAAAGCAUAGUGUGUAUUAAUUCAUGUAAAAAAUUGGAUAUUAGCACAGAAGUGUUAAUAAACAGAAAUUCCUGAAUUCUUUAUGUUCGUCUGUUGUGGAAAUAAAACCCUUUGGGAAUAGAUCAAAAAUAUACGGAAAUUACUUGAAACUGGUGGACAACUAAAUGUAAUGUGCCUUGGAUAUUAUUACUAAAAUGUACUAUAAUUCAAUUGUAUUUUUUGUCUUUUAAGGGUUGGUUCUGGGGAGCAUUAUGCAGUGAAUAUUGCAGAAGUUAUAUAAAGCUCCAAAAGCUAUUCUGUGUAAAUUUCAUGAGUGUGAAUUCUCAACUAUGAUGUUUGGCAUAUUACUCUGAUAAUUCUGGAUGUUAAUUGAUUUUAUGUUCUGACAUUUUGACUGAUUUUGGGAAAACUGAGACAUGUACCCAGACUUGUUCUGUAAAUGCUUAACAACUGGCUCCCUAGGUGAAAAGUCCUGAUUUACGGUCUUUGCCAAUUUCCCCGGUGUAAAUAUUUCCACUAUGGCUGAGUGCAAGCUAUGAAUGUGAUGUCACUGAACUCAGAAUUGGGAAGAAAUGUGCACAGUCGUCUAUUGUGAGUCAAUACAGACCAUUGUAUGUACCCACGGGCUUCUGUGAAACUACAGUUUUUACCAAAAUUCUGCUCCAUAAAUAUACAAAGGCCUAGUGAAAGAAAAAAUAUCAAGGGAAAACAAAAUAAAUUCAAAUUGGGGAGCUCAGAUGAAGAAAAUUGACAGAUUUGUUUUUGAAACUUUGAGAAACGGCAUUUGUCUAUAAUCUGCAUUUUAUUAAAGGAACAAGAUAUCUAUGUAUCAUGUUGAGUGUUCCGAACUCUUAGUUUCUUUGGUGUUCCCCUAGACGGAGGCGGGGGCUUCUUUCCUUUCAGAUAUUCAUGCUAAGGCAAUGCUGACCGAAGGAUCGAUGGGACCUGCACACUGUGAAGCCAGUUUCAGGAUGGCUGAUCUUAGAGUCAACAAAGAGGAAAAGAUAAGGAGCCUUCUGAGUUUUGGGAGGCAACACUGAAAUUUAGAGCCGUGAUUUGGUAUGAUAAUGUAUAGUUUUUUAAAUUAACAUUAAUGAAAAGAAGAAAAAUUAGCUGUUCAAAAAUUGAAAAAAUGGAUUAAUAAACUCUUCUAUUAGAGUAAGGCAAGAAGAACUUAUUAAAAUAGAGGUGAAUUGGAACAUC
This is a non-coding RNA of Ceratotherium simum simum (southern white rhinoceros), 3685 nucleotides long. NCBI's taxonomy places the organism in Eukaryota, Metazoa, Chordata, Mammalia, Perissodactyla, Rhinocerotidae. The record is from RefSeq and is a predicted model, not a curated record.